AUUGAACGCUGGCGGCAGGCCUAACACAUGCAAGUCGAACGGAAGAACGGAAAUUGCUUCUGCUUUCGGCGGCCGAGGGGUGGGUGGUUCCGAAGAAUAUCGGAAUUUGUUUUUUCUUGGGUCCGAACGCGGGGACUAUUACGCCAAACCUCCUUAGGACCUAAGGGGGAAAGCAUGGGACCUUAGGCCCUUGGGUGAUUCAAGGACCCGAUGUCGGAUUAGCUAGUUGGCGGGGUAAAGGCCCACCAAGGCGACGAUCCGUAGCUGGUCUGAGAGGAUGAUCAGCCACACUGGAACUGAGACACGGUCCAGACUCCUACGGGAGGCAGCAGUGGGGAAUAUUGGACAAUGGGCGCAAGCCUGAUCCAGCCAUACCGCGUGUGUGAAGAAGGCCUUCGGGUUGUAAAGCCCUUUUAUUGGGGAAGAAAAGCAGUAGGUUAAUACCUCGCUGUUCUGACGGUACCCAAAGAAUAAGCACCGGCUAACUUCGUG
This 492-nucleotide ribosomal RNA is filed under the name uncultured bacterium. RNAcentral describes it as "partial 16S ribosomal RNA". It matches the Rfam family "Bacterial small subunit ribosomal RNA", at positions 30 to 507 of the family's 1533-position model. The record is from RNAcentral.